CCGCAAGUUUGCAGUGCGACCAGUCUGCCAAGCGUGACCUUCCAGGGCCAAGGGGGAGGAGGGCUGAGAGCUGGCGAUCACCACUAGAAAGCUAAACAAAUAACCGGCCGAGAGAGAAAGCCGAGGCGCUUCUCCAGGGCCCCGGGCUCCGCGCGCGCGCGCGCUCGCUCGCUCGUUUUCCAUCCCAACGCCUGGAGGAAAAUCCACUGUCUACCCCGCGCGUCCGGCGCAGCCCCGGUCCCUGAGUUCCCGGGCAGCGGCAGCCAAGGGGUUAACCGGGGAAAGCCCAAGACGCCACAGAAGAGGGAAGGAAGAGGGAGAGAGAGAAAAGAAAGAGCCACACAGUCAUCUUCCCAGGCCCUGCUUGGAAAGAAAGCUCUCCCCAACAUCACAAGGCAGCAAACUGAAAGCAAGAACAUGGCGAAAGACGAUUUGACAUCAGCUAAAUCCCUCUCUGCCGAGGAGUUUUCGGAGCUCUUCUCCUCCUGUUCGCCCUCGUCUUUGAAGGAAA
This is a long non-coding RNA of Hipposideros armiger (great roundleaf bat), 511 nucleotides long. RefSeq lists it as uncharacterized. The transcript has 3 exons. Lineage: Eukaryota; Metazoa; Chordata; Mammalia; Chiroptera; Hipposideridae. The record is from RefSeq and is a predicted model, not a curated record.